GGUUUUCUACGAUACUCCUAAGCGAAGGAUCACCAUAAUCAUGAUAUUCUUCAUGAACGGCGUCGUGGAUUCGGCGUGAACAAAGGCGGUUCGUGGAUUCGGAUCGUUGGCUCGUGGAUUCGAGUGGCGUCGUGGAUUCGGCGUGAUUGAAGCUUCGUGGAUUCGAUGUGGAGGCGUUCGUGGAUUCGAACGUGAGGGCAUGGACAACCCGGAGGGUAGCGCGAAGAUUCAUAGGAGGUUAAGAGAGGUAGAGUCCGUGGAGUCGGUAAUCACCUUGUAAUCUUUUCUCUUAGUGAAUUAUUUUUUCGCGUGUUGGUCCCGUGGGUUUUUCUCCAAGUUGGAGUUUUCCCACGUAAAUCUCGGUGUGCUUUUUAUUUUUCGCAUUUAUUUUUAUUGCAUCGAGAUUUGUGGUUUUUGGCCUAUCACCUAUUCACCCCCCUCUAGGUGAUAGAUACAAUCUAGAUAGAUCCUUAGGUUCCUCAAAACUUACAAUUGGUAUCAGAGCAGGAUCUAGAUAAAUUGUUAUCUAAUGGCCGAAGGUGGUAACAUUAAUCGGCCUCCGCUCUUCGACGGCACGAAUUAUGCCAAUUGGAAAGUUCGCAUGAGAGCUUUUCUAAUUGCUAUCGAUGAGCGAGUUUGGCAAUCUAUUGAAUUUGGGUGGAAACAUCCGAUAGAAAAGGUCGAUAAUGUUGAAAAGCCAAAACCACGGAACAAGUGGACAAAAGAAGAAAACGAGACAUCUUCGUUUAACGGCAAGGGCAUAAACGCUUUAUUUAAUGCAUUGUCACAAACGGAGUUUACUCGCGUUUCGGCGUGUGAGACCGCCAAGGAAAUUUGGGACACUCUACAAAUUACACAUGAAGGUACUAGUUUAGUAAAAAUUCAAAAGCUUCAAAUGUUGACUAGUCAAUUUGAUUCUAUUCGUAUGGAGGAGCAUGAAUCUUUUACCGAUUACUACACUAGGCUUCAAGAUAUUAUUAAUACAUGUGCUAAUUUGGGAGAGAAGAUCCCGGAUGCUAAAGUUGUUCGUAAAAUUCUUCGAACUCUUCCGGAAUGUUUUCGGACUAAAGUAGCAGCGAUCGAAACGGUCAAACAUCCGGACGAGAUGAAAGUCGAGGAAUUAGUAGGUGCUUUACAAACGUAUGAAAUGACUUUUCCUACUAAUCAAUCUUCUUCCAAGUCUUCUUCUAAAAGGACAGGUGUUGCAUUGAAAUCUACAAAGGAGAAGGACGAAGACUCGAGUUCCGACGAUGACUUAUCAAUUGCUGACUUUGAACAACAAUUGGCGCUUCUAACGAAGAAGUUUCGUCGAAAUUUCCGGAACAAGAAUAGAUUGGACAAGGCUUCAUCGUCCAAGCGACAAUCUUUGUCUAAGUCAUCUUCAUCUUCAAAGUCUAAGGAUAAAAACCGUGCAAAGUCUUCAAAGGAAAAGGAUGUAUUUGAAGGCGAGAUCCAAUGCUUCAAGUGCAAAGGCUACGGCCACAUUGCGACGGAUUGUCCUUCAAAGAAGAUGUAUAGACAAAAGGCUAUGCAAGCAAAGACGUGGGAUGAUUCAACAUCAAGUGAAUCAUCGUCAAGUGACGAAGAAAAGAAUGAUCAAAUUGCUCUAUUUGCUAAUACUCCCUCGUCGAAUGUUGUGUGUUUAUCCUCUAUGGCUACUAACUCCAAUAUUUUUCUUUCUUCACAUGAUUCAUCGAGUAAGAAUGGUGAAAGUGAGGAGGAAUCAAACGACGACGACAUAGCGGAAGCGUACAAUCAACUUCUCAUUGAAUCAAAGAAGAUGGCUAAACUCAACAAGAAGUUGAGACGUCGUUUGUUGGAACUUCAGGAGGAAAACAACAACGUAAAGAAUUUGAAUAAGGUUCUUGAGGAGGAAAGGGAUUCAAGUUUGAAGAUUAAUUCGGACCGCCAAGAGAAGCUUAGUGAUGCGGAAUCGACGAUCAAAUCCUCUAAUGACAAGAUUGGAUUUUUGGAGCAUCAAUUUCAUGAAUCGCACAAGUCCAAUCAAGUCUUGAUCAACCAAGUUCGUCAACUCCAAUCCGAUCUUCAACGAUUUUCUUCGGGAUCAAAGAAGUUGGACAAAAUGCUUGGAUUGGGUCAAACGAGCAAAUUGGGCCUUGGAUAUGAACGAACAUACGUUGAGAAGGAUUCAAAAUCAACUUCUAAAGUCUCAACAACUUCGAAAGAGAAAGUGUGUCAUAAAUGUGGCAUCGAAGGACACAUCAAAAGAAAUUGCCCAAACAAAAAUGGCAAGUCACAAUCGGCAAAUUCAAAACAUCCAUCGGCGUCAUCUACUAUUCGACAUCACCCACGGAAUCAAAAGCAAAAUAAUUUAAGUCGAGUGCCUCAAAAGAAUCGGACUUCUAAGCCUAAACGUCAAGUUCUACCUAAGCCUCAAGCAAAGAAAACACCAACGAUUGAUCAAAAAUCUAAGCAAACGGCACCAAACGUCGACAAGCCGAGAAAACCAAAGAUCCGACAAGUUUGGAUCCGGAAAGGUGAUAUCUUUCCUUGCUCCUCGUCUUAGUCAUUUUUUAUCUUUAGUGUAAUGCUUUGAUUGGUGCUUGUUGUUUAUUUUUAUUCAUUGUAUUACAUGGUUGAAUGAUUUUGAUCGUUUUUGAUGAAAUUUUUUGCUAUCGAUCACUGCUUAAGGACAUUAUUUUGCUUCUAGAACACUUGAAUCACAUCAAAACACGUUAUUUUUCGCUGAUCCAUGUUCUAAGCUUCGAUUUUCAUGUAAUUUCGGGAUUUCUUUUUAAAAUGUCAUUUUUUUUAAAAUUGUUGAAUGAUCUUGUUAGAAAUAGCAUUUGGAUGUAUUCUAAUGUUAUUAGAAAUUUUUGUUGCUAUUUUUACAGAUUUUUCAAAAUUUUCUUCAUGAAUGGCUUAUUUUCAUGUAGGAAAAUGGCAUUUUCGUUCGUAAUUUUGCUUUUGGUGCUUAUGGCCGCCGGUCGUGGUCGGGGUGGUGGUCGAGGACGACGUGGUCAGUCAAAGAGAACUCGUACUACCGACGAGUUAUCUGGAUCAAAUCCUGAUUAUCAGGUCAGCUCACCUGAAGCUGCUGAAGAAGCUGCUACUCGAGCUGCUAAAGGAAAAGGCCUCGUAGGCGAAUCCUCACGAGGAGGUGAUUCUCGUGCACGUGAAAGGCGCUCCAAACGUGCUGCAGAGGCUUCAUUAGAGCGACAGCAGAUUUAUUCGAGCCGAUCAGUUCUAGCUGAGCGCUAUGUCAACUUCACUGAGCUAGUCAAGGAGGUACCAGAUUUUGGCCAAUUGCUGCAGAGGGUUCCCAUUGAGCCUGCUGGACGGGUUCAAGCUCGUGCCCCAUUUUGUGUGGAACUAAUUCGAGAAUUCUAUAUAAACGGGGUAGUACUUGGAGAGGAUGAGGAGACUGGGACCUAUGUGUUUGAGUCUUAUGUGCGUAAAAAGAAGAUUCACGUCACUCCUUAUACUAUUGGAGAGCUCUUAGGUAUGAAUGUUGAUACUACCGGUCUUCAGUAUACGACAGGGCUAUAUCAGUCUUCAACCCACUGGGAGACUGUUAUUCAUGCUAUAUGCAAGGUAGGUGUUAGGACUAAUCAUUCAUAUGUGGAAUCUAAGGAUUUGCUACCUGAAUAUCAUCUGCUCUCAUUGGUGAUGAGCUACAACGUUCAACCGACAAUUGGAACAAAAAGAAUUCGGUGGGAUCGUCUUGUGCUUCUGUAUCUUCUUGGACAUCCUGAAGAAGCAAGAGGAUUGAACAUCAAUAUUCCUUUUCUUAUGUGGCAACGAAUGGUUCAUGUCAUACAGUCUCAGGUUCGCCGUGAUCUUCUUCCGUUUUCGUUAUUGAUCACGAGGAUUCUUCAGGAAAAUGGUGUUGACGUGUCAUGUGAGAAGUAUGAUUUUGGACUUGGACCUAUUGAUGCUGUAACUUGGGCAAAGUCAAGGAGCACCUUGAAGACGUUUCAGCAAACCAAAGGGUCCUCCAGAGGAGCUACUAGUUCAACACCUCCACCUAGAGCAGCACGUGAGGGAUCUUCUAGUUCAGGGGGAGUGAUUACUGUCGAAUCACUUCAUCAUGAGGUGCGCUCUAUGAAGAAGAAACUGGCCGAUCUUGCGAGAAAGGUGGAGAUGGGGAUGAAGAGAAUGAUGGAGAAAAUGGGAUGUAGGCAUGAUGAUAUCUUUCCUACUGAGCCUACCUACACUACUUAUACCAGAUCGACUUCACGACAUCCACUCAUUCCACCGUCUGGUGAUGCUCCUGAGGCUGGGGGAUCUGGAGCUGGAGCAGGAGAUGAUGAUGAUGAUGAUGACGAGGACACGGAGUGAUGUCUUCCUCGGGCUUCGUCUUGUUACUUUAUUAUGCUUACUUUCUAGGACGAUGUUUUAGACUUGCUUGCUUAUCUUUCUUUGGCAUGUUUUAUUUUAGGCCUGUACCUAUGACUAGACUUCCUUUGUGCUUUCUAGUAUGUUUUCUCUCUCUAUUUGCUUUCUUUUGGCAAUUUUUGACAAAAAGGGGGAGAAUGUAGAACAGGGGGAGAGCGUGGUUGACAACAGGCAAAUGAACUAAGCAGAGGAUGAUGAGUAGAUGUGAUCGAGAUGUGAAGAACAAAGGGGGAGAAGGUAUAAGAAUUUAAGGGUAAUCAUUAAAUCAUUUUUGAAUGAAUUGUUUUGCAGGAAAUCAAGACUUCAAGACUCCUAGUUGUGUCUAAGUCAUAGAGUCUGUUUUAGGAGUUUUUGAUGUAAGUUUGAGUUUCAAAUUGUAUUUGGAUUACACGCGAGGAGUUCAAUGUUUUGGUGAUGACGAUUGAACUUCAUUUUUCUGUAAAUUGUAAUUUUUAAGUUUGUGUGAGUUUUGUCACGAAAUUGCCAAAGGGGGAGAUUGUUAAGUCGUGUGUGUUGGUAAGUUUCGUGAAGUGAGUCGGAGUCUUGAAGAAUCGGUGCGUGUUGUCGAAGAUCGAAGAAUUCAAGAUUUCGAAGAAGUUGGAAAAUAACUCACACCGUGAAUCACGAUGUCCAGGUAAAGUGUUAAUUCAUGAUUAUGGUGAUUCAUACUUAGUUGUAGACAUUAGAAUCAUAAUAUCAUUGUCUAACGGAUUAGAAAGUGCAUUGGAACUUUGCAAAAUCCGAAACGGCGAAAAUUUGCAAAGUGUACUGGUACAGCAUCAGAAGUGUACCGGUACAAAUUGUGUACCGGUACGACCAUCAAGGGUGUAACCGGUUUCACUGUUUCGUCUGGUUUUUCGUUCCGUCAUCGUGUAACCGGUGACAGCCUAAAGUGUACCGGUACACAGUGUAAAAUCGUGAAAACUUUCUAAUCCGACUCCAAUUGAUUCUAAAGUCUAUAAAUAAGCUAUUGGGCUUCUCUAACACAUCAAGCAUCAUAAGAGUACAUAUUUGAGAAACCCUAGAGGCUCGAAUUUCAUCAGAAACCUAUUUUCUACAAAAAACCUCUUUUAGAUCAAAUCGAGAUAUUGAAAUUUGAUAUUAAUAUGUCGAUUUGAUCUCCGCUUCGCUUGGAGUUCUAUUCCCUGGUUUUCUACGAUACUCCUAAGCGAAGGAUCACGAUAAUCAUGAUAUUCUUCAUGAACGGCGUCGUGGAUUCGGCGUGAACAAAGGCGGUUCGUGUAUUCGGAUCGUUGGCUCGUGGAUUCGAGUGGCGUCGUGGAUUCGGCGUGAUUGAAGCUUCGUGGAUUCGAAGUGGAGGCGUUCGUGGAUUCGAACGUGAGGGCGUGGACAACCCGGAGGGUAGCGCGAAGAUUCAUAGGAGGUUAAGAGAGGUAGAGUCCGUGGAGUCGGUAAUCA
Molecule: long non-coding RNA, 5778 nt
Filed under: Ananas comosus (pineapple)
Lineage: Eukaryota; Viridiplantae; Streptophyta; Magnoliopsida; Poales; Bromeliaceae
Description: long non-coding RNA (ACOM_LNC035303)
Source: RNAcentral